Non-coding RNA from Halanaerobium kushneri, 154 nucleotides. The record is from Rfam. NCBI's taxonomy places the organism in Bacteria, Bacillati, Bacillota, Clostridia, Halanaerobiales, Halanaerobiaceae.
GUAUCCUUUAAAUUGGUCCAGAGAGGCCGGUAAGGAAUAGAAGCUCGAACUGUGUUUGGCUAAAAGUUUAGAUUUAAAACGGCCAGCAAAGUAGGGCAGCUACUAAUAGAUUUUAAACUCCUUAUCAGGCUCAAACUGGUAGGGAGUUUUUUUA